GCAGUGUAGCACUCGCGCCCUUGGGGGCUAGCGUUUGGCCGGAGCUACACACUCUUUACUCACGCACGCACACCGCCGUACACAGCACAAUCGUUCACCGUCCCGCCAAAGGCUCGUCUCUCGGGUUCUGCCUAGUGGAAGGAGUCGGACAACGCCGCACGUCACGGGCGUUUCGGAUUUCUUGCUUCCCAAAGGUUUGACGGCGGCCACCGGCGCCCCGGCCCAGCUCUGCUUUCCUUUGCUGACUCCUUCCUUUAGGUGUGAAUUUUAAAAUGCUGAUACCGCCCCAAGAGAGCUGAGUCAAGUGAGGCAAACGUUCGCCUGUUGUUCUCCUGACAGACUCCCUGCAGUGGGCAGGGGAAAUGUGGCCUUGGCCGACAUUAAUGAAGUGCCAGGAUGGAGGGAGGGGGCCUGCUGAUUUGUUCUGUUUUACUUUUUAAGGGUAACUAGAGCGUUACUGGAGUCGUCUGUGGGUUUGGGGAGUAUGUGGCGCGUGUGUGUGUCACACAUUUCACUGGCAACUCCCGCCAACCCCUUCCCAAGAAAUGAAGGCUCUAAUGUGGGCAGUUCUGCAACAAAGGUGAAACUUCCCCAAAUCACGAUUCCCCGCAAGAUGAGAGAGCAGGUGCAGCAUCCAUUUUCCCACUAUCACGCUUGAGAUGGUGGCUUUGGGCACUGCCGGGUGCCCCGACAUCCUUCCCAGAGCCCAGCCUUCCCACCCAGGCCCGGCCCUGCGCGGCCGCCUGCCUUUGCAUCAGAGACCGCGGCUGUGCCAUUGCCAAGGUGGGCAGCGCCGCCUCGCUUCCCCAUUCCUCCGUCUCCCACGCCUCUUGCGUGUUUGAGUCGCGAAGUGAUGGACUUUAAAUCUCAGAGGAGGAAUGAGAAACUUGGUUAGUGGCUCUCUUGGCAUGUUCGUAGCCCUGUGGUUGAAGUGGCUGAAACCUGCGUUGAGCCUCAGUCCAAGCAGCUGGGGCCACACCAGUUUGCAAAAGCGGAUGUGGCAGUUUCCACCGCAGCAGCAGCCUGCUGGCGCCUCAUCAGAUUCUCCUUUGGAGGAAGUAUCUUCUUCCCUUCAUUCUCGGUGAAUGGCAUCCAGAGAUAACCAAAAUCAGGUGUAUCUAGUUUCAAGUUCUGUCUUGCAACCGUGAUAAUUGGAGGAUGCAAACUUUACACUUUCUUCUCUAGCUGUCUACCACCACUGCUGCGCUUGUGGAUGACUGCAGGAACACCGGGUACUUGCCACAAGUAUCUCUCCAGAUUCAUCAGCCUUUCACCUGUGACAAGCUCAGUCAAGAAGUGGCUCCUAAGUAAAAGCUGGGGAAGAACAAGGAAGAUAGAGCUCAGAGUAGAAAGCUGUGAAGUUCUGCACAACAGGUCCCCUUGGCCUGCUCUAACAGUUGGAAGACAGGCAUGGUAGCUCAUGUGGAAGCUUCCCGAGGCCCUCACCCAGAAGCAGAUGCUGGAGCCAUGCUUGUACAGCUUGCAGAACUGGCAACUUGUAUUGUAGGAAUCAUCAGGCAAUAAGAUGCAGGGAAAACUCUGGAUACUGCAUACCCAAAGUUGAAUACAUUUUUCUUCUUUUUGAAACUUUUAAUACACAUAAAGACAAGUGCACGUAUUAUAAGUAUAUAGUUCAGUUUAUUUCGACAACCUGAAUAAACCCAUGUAAUCAGCACCCAGAUCAGGAAACAGAAUCUGGAAGCUUCCUUGUGUCCCCUUCCAACCACUAUUUCCCCUCAAAGUUAAUCCUGACUUCUAACUGCAUAGAUUUGUCUUGUCUAUUUUUGUACUUUAUAUAACUAGAAUAAUAGAAUAGAUACUCUUUUGUAUCUGU
Molecule: long non-coding RNA, 1834 nt
Filed under: Homo sapiens (human)
Lineage: Eukaryota; Metazoa; Chordata; Mammalia; Primates; Hominidae
Description: FHIP1A divergent transcript, transcript variant 7 (FHIP1A-DT)
Source: RNAcentral